UACGUAGGGGACCAGCGUUGUCCGGAAUUACUGGGCGUAAAGCGCACGUAGGUGGCUUUGUAAGUUAGAGGUGAAAGCCCGGGGCUCAACUCCGGAAUUGCCUUUAAGACUGCAUCGCUAGAACGUCGGAGAGGUAAGUGGAAUUCCGAGUGUAGAGGUGAAAUUCGUAGAUAUUCGGAAGAACACCAGUGGCGAAGGCGACUUACUGGACGACUGUUGACACUGAGGUGCGAAAGCGUGGGGAGCAAACAGG
Molecule: ribosomal RNA, 253 nt
Filed under: uncultured bacterium
Lineage: Bacteria
Description: partial 16S ribosomal RNA
Rfam family: Bacterial small subunit ribosomal RNA
Source: RNAcentral